RNAcentral lists this ribosomal RNA (2816 nucleotides) under Clostridioides difficile. RNAcentral describes it as "bacterial LSU rRNA". It matches the Rfam family "Bacterial large subunit ribosomal RNA". The record is from RNAcentral. Lineage: Bacteria; Bacillati; Bacillota; Clostridia; Peptostreptococcales; Peptostreptococcaceae.
AGGGUGCAGGGCGGAUGCCUUGGCACUAGGAGCCGAUGAAGGACGUGAUAAGCUGCGAUAAGCUUCGGGGAGUUGCACGUAAACUUUGAUCCGAAGAUUUCCGAAUGAGGAAACUCACUUAGAGUAAUGUCUAAGUAUCAUUAAGUGAAUACAUAGCUUAAUGAGGGGAACUCAGGGAACUGAAACAUCUAAGUACCUGAAGGAAGAGAAAGAAAUUCGAUUCCGUAAGUAGCGGCGAGCGAACGCGGAUUAGCCCAAACCAAUAAAGUUUUCUUUAUUGGGGUUGCGGACAUAUCAUAACGAAGAGGUAUCGUAAUUGAAGAGGUUUGGAAAGACCCACCACAGAAGGUAAUAGUCCUGUAUGUUAAACGAGAAGACUUCAGAUAUGAUCCAGAGUACCACGGGACACGUGAAACCCUGUGGGAAGCAGGAGGGACCACCCUCCAAGGCUAAAUACUACCUAGUGACCGAUAGCGUAUAGUACCGUGAGGGAAAGGUGAAAAGAACCCCGGGAGGGGAGUGAAAUAGAACCUGAAACCCUGCACUUACAAGCUGUGGAAGCACAUUUCUUGUGUGACCGCGUACUUUUUGUAGAACGGGCCAACGAGUUACGUUAAGUAGCAAGGUUAAGCACUUAAGGUGCGGAGCCGUAGCGAAAGCGAGUUUUAACUGAGCGUUCAGUUACUUGACGUAGACCCGAAACCGGGCGACCUACCCAUGAGCAGGAUGAAGCGAAAGUAAAAUUUCGUGGAGGUCCGAACCCACGAGCGUUGAAAAGCUCGGGGAUGACUUGUGGGUAGCGGUGAAAUUCCAAUCGAGCCCGGAGAUAGCUGGUUCUCCCCGAAAUAGCUUUAGGGCUAGCCUCAAGGUGAGAGAUACGGAGGUAGAGCACUGAAUGUCCUAGGGGGUAUUGCACCUACCGAAGACUAUCAAACUCCGAAUGCCGUCAUCUUAUACUUGGGAGUCAGACUGUGGGUGAUAAGAUUCAUAGUCGAAAGGGCAACAGCCCAGAUCGUCAGCUAAGGUCCCUAAAUGUAAGUUAAGUGGUAAAGGAUGUGGGAUUGCACAGACAACCAGGAUGUUGGCUUAGAAGCAGCCACUCAUUCAAAGAGUGCGUAAUAGCUCACUGGUCGAGUGAUCCUGCGCCGAAGAUUUCCGGGGCUAAAACUUACUACCGAAGCUACGGCAUCAUUAUGAUGGGUAGGGGAGCUUCCCAUACGGGUUGAAGCAUGACCGUAAGGACAUGUGGACAGUAUGGGAGUGAGAAUGUUGGCAUGAGUAGCGAGAUGUGGGUGAGAAUCCCACAGGCCGUAAACCCAAGGUUUCCAGGGGAAGGUUCGUCCGCCCUGGGUUAGUCGGGACCUAAGCUGAGGCCGAAAGGCGUAGGUGAUGGACAACAGGUUGAUAUUCCUGUACUACCGAUAACCGUUUGAGAGAAGGGAUGACACAGUAGGAUAAGCUAAGCACACUGUUGGUUAUGUGUGCCCAAGCAUUGAGGCAGUCAAAGCAGGCAAAUCCGCUUUGAUAAUGCUGGGAUGUGAUGGGGAGCGAAAUUUAGUAGCGAAGUAGCUGAUUUCACACUGUCAAGAAAAGUCUCUAUCGAGGUUAAAGGUACCCGUACCGCAAACCGACACAGGUGGGUGAGGAGAGUAUCCUAAGGCCAGCGAGAGAACUGUUGUUAAGGAACUCGGCAAAAUGACCCCGUAACUUAGGGAUAAGGGGUGCCACCAUCCGGUGGCCGCAGAGAAUAGGCCCAAGCGACUGUUUACCAAAAACAUAGGUUUCUGCUAAGUCGCAAGACGAUGUAUAGGAGCUGACGCCUGCCCGGUGCUGGAAGGUUAAGGGGAUCUGUUAGAGCAAUCGAAGCAGUGAACUUAAGCCCCAGUAAACGGCGGCCGUAACUAUAACGGUCCUAAGGUAGCGAAAUUCCUUGUCGGGUAAGUUCCGACCCGCACGAAAGGCGUAACGAUUUGGGCACUGUCUCAACAACAGACUCGGUGAAAUUGUAAUUCCGGUGAAGAUGCCGGAUACCUGCGACAGGACGGAAAGACCCCAUGGAGCUUUACUGUAGCUUGACAUUGGGUCUUGGUACUACAUGUACAGGAUAGGUGGGAGGCUUUGAAACCAGGACGCCAGUUUUGGCGGAGCCAUCCUUGGGAUACCACCCUUGUAGUACUGGGACUCUAACCAUAGGCCAUGAAUCUGGUCUUGGGACACUGUCAGGUGGGCAGUUUGACUGGGGCGGUCGCCUCCCAAAAGGUAACGGAGGCGCUCAAAGGUUCUCUCAGUACGGUCGGAAAUCGUACGUAGAGUGUAAAGGCAAAAGAGAGCUUGAUUGCAAGACAUACAGGUCGAGCAAGGAUGAAAAUCGGACUUAGUGAUCCGGUGGUUCUGCGUGGAAGGGCCAUCGCUCAACGGAUAAAAGCUACCCUGGGGAUAACAGGCUUAUCUCCCCCAAGAGUCCACAUCGACGGGGAGGUUUGGCACCUCGAUGUCGGCUCAUCACAUCCUGGGGCUGUAGUAGGUCCCAAGGGUUGGGCUGUUCGCCCAUUAAAGUGGUACGCGAGCUGGGUUCAGAACGUCGUGAGACAGUUCGGUCCCUAUCCGUCGCAGGCGUAGGAAAUUUGAGAAGACCUGUCCUUAGUACGAGAGGACCGGGAUGGACGUACCUCUGGUGUACCAGUUGUUCUGCCAAGGGCAUGGCUGGGUAGCUAUGUACGGAAUGGAUAAGCGCUGAAAGCAUCUAAGCGCGAAGCCAACUUCAAGAUAAGAUUUCCCACCGCAAGGGUAAGACCCCAGAAAGACUAUCUGGUUGA